UGGUAAAACAGUUCUUAAAACAGCAUGAAAUCGCCUUUGAAGAACUUUAAUUUGUUGCUUUACUUUUCCAAAGCGUUAUGCUAUUCUAAGCUUAGUUGCAUAGCAACAUAAAUAUAUUGGAGGUACUUUCGAUGAACAAAGGUACAGUUAAAUGGUUCAACAACCAGAAGGGUUACGGAUUCAUCACCGCUGAAGACGGACAUGAUGUAUUCGUACAUUAUUCAGGACUUAACAUGGAGGGUUUUAAAUCUCUCGAAGAAGGAGCUGCAGUAGAGUUCGAUAUUACUGAUGGCGCUAAAGGUCCUCAGGCAGUUAACGUAGUAGUAGUUAAAUAAUUGCCUUAUAAUCAAGUU
This 353-nucleotide small RNA is filed under the name pig gut metagenome. RNAcentral describes it as "cspA thermoregulator". The record is from RNAcentral.